GAUGAACGCUGGCGGCGUGCUUAACACAUGCAAGUCGAACGGAAAGGCCCAAGCUUGCUUGGGUACUCGAGUGGCGAACGGGUGAGUAACACGUGGGUGAUCUGCCCUGCACUUCGGGAUAAGCCUGGGAAACUGGGUCUAAUACCGGAUAGGACCACUUCUUGGAUGUUGUGGUGGAAAGUUUUUUCGGUGUGGGAUGAGCUCGCGGCCUAUCAGCUUGUUGGUGGGGUAAUGGCCUACCAAGGCGUCGACGGGUAGCCGGCCUGAGAGGGUGUACGGCCACAUUGGGACUGAGAUACGGCCCAGACUCCUACGGGAGGCAGCAGUGGGGAAUAUUGCACAAUGGGCGCAAGCCUGAUGCAGCGACGCCGCGUGGGGGAUGACGGCCUUCGGGUUGUAAACUCCUUUCGCUAGGGACGAAGCGUUUUGUGACGGAACCUGGAGAAGAAGCACCGGCUAACUACGUG
Molecule: ribosomal RNA, 467 nt
Filed under: uncultured bacterium
Lineage: Bacteria
Description: partial 16S ribosomal RNA
Rfam family: Bacterial small subunit ribosomal RNA
Source: RNAcentral